GACGAACGCUGGCGGCGUGCUUAACACAUGCAAGUCGAACGGAAAGGCCCCUUUGGGGGUACUCGAGUGGCGAACGGGUGAGUAACACGUGAGUAACCUGCCCUUGACUUCGGGAUAACUUCAGGAAACUGGGGCUAAUACCGGAUAGGAAUCCUUGCUGCAUGGUGGGGGUUGGAAAGCUUCGGCGGUUUUGGAUGGACUCGCGGCUUAUCAGCUUGUUGGUGGGGUAGUGGCUUACCAAGGCGUUGACGGGUAGCCGGCCUGUGAGGGCGACCGGCCACAUUGGGACUGAGAUACGGCCCAGACUCCUACGGGAGGCAGCAGUGGGGAAUAUUGCACAAUGGGCGGAAGCCUGAUGCAGCAACGCCGCGUGCGGGAUGACGGCCUUCGGGUUGUAAACCGCUUUCAGCAGGGGCGAAGCUUGUGGUGACGGUACCUGCAGAAGAAGCACCGGCUAACUACGUG
RNAcentral lists this ribosomal RNA (465 nucleotides) under uncultured bacterium. Its description in RNAcentral is "partial 16S ribosomal RNA". It matches the Rfam family "Bacterial small subunit ribosomal RNA", at positions 28 to 507 of the family's 1533-position model. The record is from RNAcentral.